This is a long non-coding RNA of Dipodomys spectabilis (banner-tailed kangaroo rat), 1365 nucleotides long. RefSeq lists it as uncharacterized. The record is from RefSeq and is a predicted model, not a curated record. Lineage: Eukaryota; Metazoa; Chordata; Mammalia; Rodentia; Heteromyidae. The transcript has 4 exons.
UUGGAAUUGAAUGAUCUCUCUCUGGGCAUGUGAGCUUACUUGGGUCUCAUGGGACCAAAGAAAACUGAUAGUAUGAGAGAAACACAUUAUCUGUGAUAAAUAGCCUCAUUUAAUUGGAACCGAAUUUGCAAAAUUGGACCAUUUCUAAUCUUUCCCAUCCAUUAUAGCUCCAACUGGUUCAUUUCAUGCUUGACUGUGACCCUAAGAAUGACGUACAUUUUCCUCCAGUAUGAAGAAAAGAAAUCAUAGAUCAGUGUAACAGAAAGUUGUCCCAAUGUAUCCCCAAUAGAGAAGAGACAAAACAUCAAACACCAGUAGUGCCAAAACAUUUUACUGAAAUUUUUCUAACUUUUUCUCAAAGAACAUUACAAAAAGCAAGUAAAAUUGAUGACAAGUUACACACUAGAAAAUAACUUUUCUUUAAGGGCAGGCUUCUAGGGAGAGGCAAAGGAAAUAGGUAGAAACAUUUUUCUGUGGUUAAAAUACUAGAUUAGGCUAUUUUAUACAUAACUCAUUUGGAUCCAUUUACAGGGGGAAAAUAUGUCCCAGGCUUGGAAAUUAAAGCCAGACUGUGACCUACAAUCAAUAGGCUAGUUUCUUAUCCACCAAGCUGGUUUACAAAGAUCAGCGUACUAUUGGGAAAAAGCUUUUUGUUUAACCAGUAGCUCAACACCAACCAGAUUAAGGAAGAUGUAAAACUAAAAGGUUGAUUUGGAGGAAAGAAAUAAGGCACGGUGAUUGGCUUUUUUGCUUUCUUCUCAGGUUAUAGUUUUGUUUCCCUGUAGGAUACCAGAUGUAAAUCUCACAUAGCGAUCUCAUGUCAUCAAAGCUUUCCCGCUGAUGACUGAGAUUCCAGUUCUCCAGGUUCUCUUCAACUUGCUGUACCAUGCUGAACGCAUUAACUGAAAUCUAACUUGUGUGCUCAUAGGAGAGUUAUGUCUUUAACGGCUUGAGAAUCUGUGCUUUGACAACCAUGAGGUAGGAAGUACAUUUAUGGAGGAAAAUCUGAAUCACGGAGAAGGCACCAUUACCUGGACAGCUUUUAAGUUUUCUCUGGUCGCGGGUCUCUGGACCCAGGAGUCAUCAGUAACUGAAGUUGGCAGCUCAUGAUGGUAAUCCUAGCUACUCAGGAGGCUGACAGCCAGUCCAGAACAAAAAGUCUGCAAGACUUCCAUCUCCUGUUAACCAGCAGAAUUUCAGACUGGAGGCAUCGCUUAAGCGCACAUUUACCUUUCUGGAUUCUUCCAUGAAAAUGAUCAUAUCAGAAUGCAGCAGUCGUACUCGCUGCACCCUGUGGGAAAUGAACCAGGGAAGGAACUUGUGGCUUCAGGGGAGAUUGGACUUGAGGUCCUCAUAGAUCUUAAA